AAGUAGAACGCUGAAGGAGGAGCUUGCUUCUCCGGAUGAGUUGCGAACGGGUGAGUAACGCGUAGGUAACCUGCCUGGUAGCGGGGGAUAACUAUUGGAAACGAUAGCUAAUACCGCAUAAGAGUAGAUGUUGCAUGACAUUUGCUUAAAAGGUGCAAUUGCAUCACUACCAGAUGGACCUGCGUUGUAUUAGCUAGUUGGUGGGGUAACGGCUCACCAAGGCGACGAUACAUAGCCGACCUGAGAGGGUGAUCGGCCACACUGGGACUGAGACACGGCCCAGACUCCUACGGGAGGCAGCAGUAGGGAAUCUUCGGCAAUGGACGGAAGCCUGACCGAGCAACGCCGCGUGAGUGAAGAAGGUUUUCGGAUCGUAAAGCUCUGUUGUAAGAGAAGAACGAGUGUGAGAGUGGAAAGUUCACACUGUGACGGUAUCUUACCAGAAAGGGACGGCUAACUACGUGCCAGCAGCCGCGGUAAUACGUAGGUCCCGAGCGUUGUCCGGAUUUAUUGGGCGUAAAGCGAGCGCAGGCGGUUAGAUAAGUCUGAAGUUAAAGGCUGUGGCUUAACCAUAGUACGCUUUGGAAACUGUUUAACUUGAGUGCAAGAGGGGAGAGUGGAAUUCCAUGUGUAGCGGUGAAAUGCGUAGAUAUAUGGAGGAACACCGGUGGCGAAAGCGGCUCUCUGGCUUG
RNAcentral lists this ribosomal RNA (692 nucleotides) under uncultured Bacilli bacterium. RNAcentral's name for it is "bacterial SSU rRNA". It matches the Rfam family "Bacterial small subunit ribosomal RNA", at positions 59 to 736 of the family's 1533-position model. Lineage: Bacteria; Bacillati; Bacillota; Bacilli. The record is from RNAcentral.